ACGCCAAGGUAAAAACACCGGUUCUCGUACGAUCACCGAAGUUAAGCAACGUUGAGACUGGUCAGUACCUAGCUGGGUAACCGCUUGGGUAUGUCUGGUGUUGUAA
This is a non-coding RNA of Acanthosepion pharaonis, 106 nucleotides long. The record is from the annotation of a GenBank genome assembly. NCBI's taxonomy places the organism in Eukaryota, Metazoa, Mollusca, Cephalopoda, Sepiida, Sepiidae.